Long non-coding RNA from Lotus japonicus, 2748 nucleotides. RefSeq lists it as uncharacterized. The record is from RefSeq and is a predicted model, not a curated record. NCBI's taxonomy places the organism in Eukaryota, Viridiplantae, Streptophyta, Magnoliopsida, Fabales, Fabaceae. The transcript is spliced from 3 exons.
AAUCAGUAGGCCUUAACCAACUUCAGUAAUGUAAAUUUAGUGUUAUAACAAUGAACCCCAAAAAAGACAUUAAAAUGAUGAAAUAAAAUGGAAGAAAAUGUUACCCACAGUUUUAGGGCCAAAGAGUGGACGUCACCCCCAACAACUGCUACCCCAUCCCCUUCUUUCCUGUGCGUUGUCAACAUUUCCCUCUUCCCGCUAGCAAACAGUCCCAUGGCCUUCAAAGACGGUCCCCUCGUCCACAGUCCACGCCUUUUCUCUACCUCAAGGACUCCCUCACCUUCAAAUUCUCCUAUUGGAAUCAGAUUGGGGCAGGAGGAUAGUAGCAAUUUGGAUUUAAAAUUGUGAAUGAAAACGUCAUUGAUCUAAGGAAUACAAGAAUUGAUACAUCAAAUUAGGGUUGAAUUAGGGGAAAAGUGAGAUAUGGUAACACGCGGGGUCCAAUUUUCAUGGUUUGCUCCAAAUUAGUUGCUUUUGAGUUUUGAAUCAUUUCAAAUUCAAAUUGAAAUUAUUGACAUGAAAGUAGCCUAAAAUUCGCAGACCUUUCUCUCUCUUGGUUCUCUACACAGGUUUCUUUCUCUCUAUUUGUUGGUAUUUCUUUCUUCCCAAACUCUCCUUUCUCUUUUCCAGUCCCUUUCUGUUCCUCUCUAAGCAUCCGAUACUUGACCUAAACUUCCUCCAAGGUUUGAUUUUUAUUUUGUAUGUAGUCUACAUAAUUUUUCUUCUCUGUUUUUUUUUUCUUUCUGUUCCACCGCUUCUUUUUCUAUUUCCCUUUCUCUUUGCUACGAUCUGGCUCACACUCUCCUCCCUCUUCCACCUCAUUUACCUCUUUCCUUCUGUUUUACACCCAUGGGUUCGAGUGCGUCAUUUCUUUUUCAAAGUAAAUGUUUUCUUUCAUAAAUUUCUUUGUUUUUAAUUUUAAUUUUGCUGGAGGAUUUUCGUUCAGAUUUUAUUUUGGUUUUGGGUCUUCCUUUGUUUUUUAUGUUCAUUUUCAUUACUAUGUUUGAGCUUGAUUUUGUUUAAAGGGUUUCUACUUUUGGAUUCUGCUAUGGCCAUGUGUUAUUUUCUACAUCAAAUUGUUUACCUUGUGCUCAAACUGGAUCUUUUAUUUGUUUGUUAUAUGAUCUUAUGUUCCUAAUUUAUAUCAUUUUACACUUAAAUUGCAGGGUUUGUUGCAACAACAGGAUAAUGACGAAGAUGCACAUCUUCUUAGUCCUAAAGCUUUGUUCCCCCUAUCUCCAUCUGGUACUGGACAGACAGAUUUGCAUGAGGUAGCCAGAUCAUGUAAGGAAGAGCUGUAUGUUCUUCUGAAAUCAUACUUUCUAUUCAAUAUGAGAAAAAUUGAGUUUUUUAAGAUGAUUAGCAUGGUCUUGGUGAGUGCAUGAAGGAGGAAGCAAGUUAAGUUAGAAAGUAGAAUCUAAUUGUGGUGAGUACUCCUAAUGACCACAAGCUAUUUGAGUAGGUGUGUAAGUUUCUUAUGAAAGUUCUGUUAUAGUUGCAUUUUUGCCUAUUUGUAUCAAGGUUGCUUCCUUAAGUUGAGGUGUUAUUAUCUUUUUUGUUGCUUAAUUAUGGUGAAGUGUUUUUCCUGUUACCAUUUUUCUUUAAAUUUCUUCCAGUUCAUGAUUAUUUGUUCUUAAACUAGAUGAAGAAACACAAGCUGUUACAAGAGCUUUAGUUUGUAAGUAAGCUCCUUGGUUUUCUUUGAUAUCUUUUUUCUAUUAUUGUUUUCUCAAUUCUUUUUAUCAACCAAAUAGUUAUAUUUUGUAAGCCCCCUAAUGAUAUAAACACCAGCUCAGGAACAUUUUAUACUUAAUGCCUCUUUAAGUUAUAACUUGCUAUUGUCAGCUCUUUUUCAAGCUUCAGUUUGUAUUCUGAAUUCUGAAAAUUGAUAUGCUUGCCCCUAUCACACCUAGAAAAGUCACUGAUUUUAAUCCCUUGAUUAUAGAAAGGUCCGGUGAAACUCCUUGCUGUGCUUUGAUUAUGCAUACUACACAUUGUAAUUCUAUUUAUUGGACUUGAUUCCCCUUUAUUGUAUGACCUGUUAAGUUCAAGAGAAACCCAAAGAAAGUGUAGGUGUUGGUGAAAAAUUAGAGCCUUUGCAAUUUAUAUUACCCAUGAAUUGAAAUUCUUAAGGACUUGAUUCACAUGCUUUGCAAAAUCAUGAACAAUGGAUUUUUUUCUUAUUAUUUUUCUGAACAUCCAAACAAAAGAAUUUCUUACACCUUUAGAUUUACUUGAGUUGAGCUUUAAGACUAUAACACUUUCAACUUACAUUACAUUACAAUGAUAGUAAAGCAAACUAGCAGCUUGUGCUCUGUAUACAAAGUGAGUACAUUUUUCGCUCAUUAUUAACCAAUUUUUUUGGACUUGAAGCAGAACUUGCAAUACAUCACUUGCUUUGUUUCCUCCAUAUUUACUUGCAGGCAAAAUGGUUUAACCACCAUAUACCUAAACCUUUAGCAAUGAUACAAGGAAUGUUGAAGAUAAUGAAAUUUCUAAUAUUUAUGUAAGAUAACACAACAAGAACUGCUUGCUGCAGAGAUAGAGAUGGGCAGUAAGUCAAGACGAGAGGCGAUAACUAAGAAAAUGCUUAUCCUCUAAUUGCAGUCUUUUGUACAUGGGGUGCCUGAUAUAUAAUUUAGAAUGAGAUUUUCAGUGUAUUGUUUUUGCUGUAAUGGAAUGUGUUUUUUGGAAUUGUAAAAUGUUGUACUACAGAUCUAAAUUGAAAUGAAUUGGGAUUUACUUGAA